Molecule: transfer RNA, 73 nt
Filed under: Vicugna pacos (alpaca)
Lineage: Eukaryota; Metazoa; Chordata; Mammalia; Artiodactyla; Camelidae
Description: tRNA-Ala (AGC) (tRNA-Ala-AGC-691-1)
Rfam family: tRNA
About the family: Transfer RNA (tRNA) molecules are approximately 80 nucleotides in length.
Source: RNAcentral
GGAGGGUAUAGCUCAGUGGUAGAGCACAUGGUUAGCAUGCAUGAGGUCCUGGGUUCAAUCCCCAGUACCUCCA